Long non-coding RNA from Macaca fascicularis (crab-eating macaque), 2374 nucleotides. Lineage: Eukaryota; Metazoa; Chordata; Mammalia; Primates; Cercopithecidae. The record is from Ensembl.
GUUUACCCACUCAUGCCCUGGAGAGCCCUGCCCCCAGCUCCACACCCGCAGUCACACUGAACCACAAGAACUGGCUUCUAGGCCCUUAAGCCACUCCCACUCUCCCCUGGACAGAUCCUUCUCAAACCAUGAGGCCCAGAGUAGCCUUAACAGAUGGUCCCAGCAGAACUGGUCACUGCAUUUUCUUACUGGCAAGUGAGUCAACAGUUACCUAAGUAGAGCAACCAAACAGGAUGUUUUUCCACUUAAAAGGUCUCAUUUUUGUCCAUUUAGAAUUGAUUGUGUGUGUGUGUGUGUGUGGUGGCAGGGGUUCUUGUUCUGUCACUCAGGCACAGUGUACCAUGAGUAGAGUGGUGCUGUCAUGAUUCACUGCAGCCUCAACUUCCCAGGCUUGGGUGAUCCUCCAGCCGCAGCCUCCUGACUAUCUGGGACCACAGGUGCACACCACCACUAUCUACUUUUUUGUAGAGUCAGGGUCUUGCUAUGUUGCCCAGGCUGGUCUCAAACUCCUGGGCUCAAAACUGAAUCUACUCACCUCAGCCUCCCAAGGUGCUGGGAUUACAGGUGUGAGCCACUAUGCCCAGCCUAGAAUUGAUAUUUCUUAAACUCUUACUGAGUUUAACACAUGAAUUCCACUUACAUAGAUAUCGGCACACUCUCACAGCUCAAGGAUUUUUCUGAAUCUCGAUUCUGUCCAUUCAAGGUCAAUAUCUAAAGAAAGGGCCAGAACUGACCCUCCCUCAAUGAACUCUAAGGGCAAAUGUCAGGGUAUGAGGAGACAAAGAAAGAAGGGUGGAAAGUACACGUUGAAAUUCCGGUGUUAGAAUCAUAAUCAUCAACACUUUAAGAGACAACCUGCUUUCCAAAACAUGUAGCUGCUGGAUUAACUUCAAAGUCACCAGAUUCCACAGGCAGGCGCUCAGAGAGGCACAGCUUUCUAAGGCCGCCCACCCUGGAACAGCGUAACAGCCUCGGGGUAAAUAAACAAAGGCUUGUUUCUCUCAAGGACAAAGGUGCUCAAGUCCUUCCAAAUAGUUUCUUCUUCUAAAUCAGUUAGACGGCCUCGUACAACACUGUUUAGAGUGCCAGUGUGCUCAGAAGUGUGAAGUGAAAGUACAUCUCAGGACCCCGAAAUCACUAAGCUAAAGGGAAGACAAGGUGGGGAACGGCUUAGGGCAAACUUGCCUCCCAGGCUCCUAACAGAGACUGGAAGAAAAAAGAAAGAAAAAAAAGGCAUGUACCUCCCUCACAACCGUUGGUCCACAAGGAAAUUCCUCAGGGACAGAGGGCAGAACUCAAAGUCACCAUCUGCUCACAGAGAUAAAUGCGGGUCUUACUGCUUUCUCCGGAAAGGCUCACCGGAAACGCAUCUGUCUCUGAUCCACCUGUGACCUGGAAACCUGGACCAAACCAACGUACAUCUCACAUAUAUUGAUGUCUCACAUCUCCCUAAAAUGUGUUAGACCAAGUUGUGCCCCAAACACCUUGGGCACAUGUCCAGGACCUGAGACUAUCACGGUGCGUCCUCAACCCCUCCUGAGGCUGUGUCCCGGCUGUAUCCUCAACCCCUCCUGAGACUGUCACAGUGCGUCCUCAACCCCUCCUGAGACUGUCACAUGCGUCCUCAACCCCUCCUGAGGCUGUGUCCCGGGUGUAUCCUCAACCCCUCCUGAGACUGUCACGGUGCGUCCUCAACCCCUCCUGAGGCUGUUUUUAACCUUGGGAAAAUGAACUCACUGAAUGGGCCAAGAAUUACCUCAGAGAGGCUUCUGGUUUACAGGAAGCAUUCUCUCCUGCAGGUAUAAUGCAAUCAUGUGGAAUUACAAAAUGCAACUUUAGUAAAGGCUGAAGGAAUUAGGGUUUGAUGUGAUUUACCAAAAAAAAAAAAAAAAAAAAGGAACGUUCUAUUUAUCAAUGGACCAUGAAAGCCCACACCCCCCUCUGCAGUGAUGAUGUCAACUGGAAUGAGGGGCCCCCUCCUGUGGAUGCAGCAAAGGCUACCCUCUGACCCCACUUCCCAGAGUCCAGGCUUCCUGCUGCUCAGGGAACAGCAACCCCAGCUUCACAGGGCUCAGGCCGCCAAAGCCAACUUCCAUCCAUGCUGGAGAAUCACCCCAGGGACCAGCGAAAUGGCAGGCACAACUCUCACCUCAUCCCCUUAAAGGGGAAAAGGCAACUUCCCGCUCUUCUUCCUGCUGGUGGGAACAGGGGCAGGAGUUGCAGGGUCAGGAGUCGGGCAGCAGCCUGGGUCCCUGCUAGUCACAGAUGGCAAAUGCCAACCAGCCCCGACCUUCACUUUGCAGAGAAGAAAUCCUUCUCUUUUGUCAGGUCCCUGUUAGAAGUUUGCACCCAUUCCUUUAAAAAAAAAAAAAAA